RNAcentral lists this ribosomal RNA (46 nucleotides) under Plukenetia madagascariensis. Its description in RNAcentral is "partial 26S ribosomal RNA". Lineage: Eukaryota; Viridiplantae; Streptophyta; Magnoliopsida; Malpighiales; Euphorbiaceae. The record is from RNAcentral.
GACCCCAGGUCAGGCGGGACCACCCGCUGAGUUUAAGCAUAUCAAU